UACGUAGGGUCCGAGCGUUGUCCGGAAUUACUGGGCGUAAAGAGCUCGUAGGUGGUUUGUCGCGUUGUUCGUGAAAACUCACAACUCAAUUGUGGGCGUGCGGGCGAUACGGGCAGACUUGAGUACUGCAGGGGAGACUGGAAUUCCUGGUGUAGCGGUGAAAUGCGCAGAUAUCAGGAGGAACACCGGUGGCGAAGGCGGUUCUCUGGGCAUUACCUGACGCUGAGGAGCGAAAGUGUGGGGAGCGAACAGG
This 253-nucleotide ribosomal RNA is filed under the name uncultured bacterium. RNAcentral's name for it is "partial 16S ribosomal RNA". It matches the Rfam family "Bacterial small subunit ribosomal RNA", at positions 524 to 776 of the family's 1533-position model. The record is from RNAcentral.